Nycticebus coucang (slow loris) is the source of this 104-nucleotide small nuclear RNA. Lineage: Eukaryota; Metazoa; Chordata; Mammalia; Primates; Lorisidae. The record is from RefSeq and is a predicted model, not a curated record.
GUGCUCGCGUCAGCAGCACAUCUACUAAAAUUAGAACGAUACAAAGAUUAGCAUGGCCACUGCACAAGGAUGAUGCACAAAUUUGUGAAGUAUUCCAUAUUUUG